Long non-coding RNA from Nicotiana attenuata, 858 nucleotides. RefSeq lists it as uncharacterized. Lineage: Eukaryota; Viridiplantae; Streptophyta; Magnoliopsida; Solanales; Solanaceae. The transcript is spliced from 2 exons. The record is from RefSeq and is a predicted model, not a curated record.
GUAUCAUCUUCUUCAUCACAGCCUCCUCUCACCACCGUCCGCCGCCCACCGAAAAUCGCCAGCGGCGGCGGUUGACCUCCAAUCCACACCAGAUUUACACCAUAACACCCUCUUCCUCCCCUCAUGACGAAUCCGUCGUUUGUUUCCUUCGAAUCACCGUGGAACUCGUCGAAUCUUUGAUCGAAGCUUGGACGUUCAAACCUUAUUUCACCCGAACCCAUACCAGGUAAAGUCCAGACCGCCCCAAAGCUUAUCCACACGCUUAUUUCUAGAAAAUCCCAACAAGACCUUCCCAGUCCCAAAUCUGAGAAAAUUCGAUCCCUAAUCUCUUUCUUCUUCUGAUUCCGUUCAAGGCCUGGUUUCGUUUUGAAUUAUAAUCUAUGUUGUUUGAUUGUUCUUAAUGAGAACAAUCAAUCGACAUUGAUUUUAAUUCAUUCCGGGGAGGUCAGAGUUCGACAAGUUCAUCAAAGUUCCAAGCCAAUUGUUCACUCCCCAUCGACACGCCUCAUGUCGUCAAGGCAUUCCAGCAUGUUUGGUAUUACUUCAAACUACCGUCAACAAGUAGCUAAGAACAUGUAUUUCCAACUGAAGCCUGAUUGAAUACAAACUGUUUCGGAUUCCCUUUUUAUUUAUUUUUUUCUCUAUUUCUUUGAAUGUUCUGUAAUAGGCCAUGUGUUGUACAUGAUAACUUGGUUAUCUUAUGUUAUUGAUAUGCUGUAGAAGUGAAUUUAUACCCUUUAAAAGUUUGGUGUUGAUUUCUGGAUUUAAGUGAAUGGUGCUAAUUAUCCAGAUCUCACUACUGUUGGUAUUAAGGCAAAGUUAAUGGGUUUGAAGUUUUCAGGCUGUAUUUGAGUUUAA